Molecule: unclassified non-coding RNA, 1925 nt
Filed under: Patiria miniata (bat star)
Lineage: Eukaryota; Metazoa; Echinodermata; Asteroidea; Valvatida; Asterinidae
Description: proline-rich protein 36-like, transcript variant X2
Source: RNAcentral
CUUUUUUUUUUCUUUUCCGAGUACGUGUGUACUGUGUGUGUGUGCCCCUCAUGUUUUGGCAUGCGUUGCGUGUGGCCUAGCCGGUGCGAUACGGGGAUGAAUGCGUCGGAAUUCAGGCCGGGCAAAGCGUGGGAAAUGUCGCGAGACUGACUUCACACGGGCAUAGAUUUGAACAGACAAGGGACCGUAUGAAUAGAACCUUUGGUUUUAGGGGGAGGUAGUUGUGUGGGCCAACGGCACGCACCCCUUUUAUUUCACGUCAGACCGCUCGCGCAUUCAAGCCAACAUAUCGCAUUCCGAUACAACAGGUGAAAUACUUUUGGCACAAAUAAUAAUAAUAACAGUUUUUUUCCCUUCCCAAGAACUUGGUUAUGGUGUUUAUUCAGUGAAAUCAGCUUGAUGACAACUUGCCGGUUUGAACAAUGGCGGGGGAUAGGACAUCAAAAAGUCAAGAGAAGCGUAAGUCCUCCAAGCCGCAGAUGGAGAAGCGGAGACGGGCCCGCAUCAACGAGUGCCUGACCGAUCUCCAAGGAAUCCUGGAGACUGCCAAUAACGGCCAGGAGGAGACCACGGGGGGCCAUUCCAAGAGAGAGAAGGCGGAGAUACUGGAGCAAACGGUUCAACUUGUGAAGCGUCUUCGCCGUCAAGACCAAAUAGGAAUCUCCAAUGAACCGAUUCCCCAAGCGCAGUAUCGGGCGGGCUUCAACGAGUGCCUGAACGAAGUCAGUCGAUUCAUGGAGGCCAACAACAGCGCCCUCAACGUCGAAACGCGCUCGGGGCUCCUCAACCACCUUGCGGGAUCUCUGGGCUCCUGCAGUAGCAACAACAGCAGCAAUGGCUGGAGCGCCAGCGCACCACCAGGGCAUCGGCAGUUUGGACCGGGACUUGGCAGUAUCGUGCCCCGGGAGGUCGUGGUUCAUCACGGUAGGCCGAGUUCCGAUCGCCCGGCGCUGGCACCCGGUGCUGCAACCAUCGUGCAACAGUCACCACAAGCCCUCGCCACACCACCCAAAGUCAUGGUCCCACCGCUACCCCCGGCCCAACCACCACCCACCGCCCCGUCCAUGAGCUCCCAGCUGCAGGCCGGUGCCAAUGCCAAUAACGCUAUCCCCGUCCAGCAAUCUCCGAGGAAGGGUGAGCACCCGAUCGCAGCCUGCGUCCCACCGCUGGCCUCAGCGAACCCCGGGGUCACACUCCCGGUGAAUAUCCCCCAAGCCCCAGCAGGUCACGUCGCCCUGGUCCUUCCGGCUCACCUCCUCGGCUCGUUCGUCGGCGGCCAGUUUGCAACGGGCCAGGUGAUCCCCCUGUACCACCAGCAGAGCGGUUCCCCCGGGGUAGUCCAACAAAGGGCACUGACCACCUCAGUGGCACUUCCUGCCGGGUCAGUGGGCGUGUCCUCGUCAAGCCCCGCCCCUGUGCGAGGCUCGAAACUCGACAACCAAUGUGCAACCAGUUCCAGCAGUGUCGGGGCGGGACCGAUAUUCAUUGUGCCCAGCCCCAAUUUAGGAAAUCCCACCAACAUGGCGCCUAACAGUGCUAGACCAGUGGCACCAACAACGCCCUCUCCGUCGUCUGUCCACGCCUACCGAGGAGGCGUUCCAGUACUACCUUCAAAUCCGUCAAGCGCUCCAAAUAGCGUGGUAGCUAUGGAAACAAGAAACCAAAAUGGCGUCGUCUACGCCCCAGCCUCGCUACCAAUGCAGCUGUACGUUGCGCCCUCUGCCUACGGUGGUGGCGUCAACGGCCCGUUCGCGAAUGGUCUUUCUUUGCCAAAUCCAUCAACCUUAGCCAUGGGUCCUCAUUGGCGACCGUGGGGUUGGGAUCAGGACCAGAGAUAACCGAAUUUCGAAUCCUGUUUACAGACGCAGCGAUACAAUUCAAACCAAACAUGUUAAGAAAUCCACAUUCGAAAGUGAUACAUUUUU